AGACAUAAAAGGGCAGAAUCGCGCAUGCGCAGGUGGUGCUGUCUGAAAUGAUUGCGUAUUCAUAGCUAUAAAGAAAGAGGACAACGUUCGUCGGGUCAUCUAGUAUGCAAUAUACUUAUGUCCAUAUGCAAGAAAAACAUUAAUUUGGAUUAUCCGUGUUUUCAAUUAUCCAUGCUUUGUCCAGUUCCAUGGAGCACAGAUAAUAGAGGUUCUACUGUACUGUGCACAAGUAUUUUUGGGGCACAACUGAACAUACCUCAUUUAUACAAACACACAAUAAGGUAAAUAAUAAAAUUGCAUUUCGUAACGAUUUAUU
Molecule: long non-coding RNA, 316 nt
Organism: Photinus pyralis (common eastern firefly)
Lineage: Eukaryota; Metazoa; Arthropoda; Insecta; Coleoptera; Lampyridae
Exons: 3
Source: RefSeq, a predicted model, not a curated record